RNAcentral lists this ribosomal RNA (240 nucleotides) under uncultured bacterium. Its description in RNAcentral is "partial 16S ribosomal RNA". It matches the Rfam family "Bacterial small subunit ribosomal RNA", at positions 114 to 353 of the family's 1533-position model. The record is from RNAcentral.
CGCGUAUCCAACCUGCCCAUCACUUGGGGAUAACCUUGCGAAAGUAAGACUAAUACCCAAUGACGUCUCUAGAAGACAUCUGAAGGAGAUUAAAGAUUUAUCGGUGAUGGAUGGGGAUGCGUCUGAUUAGCUUGUUGGCGGGGUAACGGCCCACCAAGGCGACGAUCAGUAGGGGUUCUGAGAGGAAGGUCCCCCACAUUGGAACUGAGACACGGUCCAAACUCCUACGGGAGCAGCAUC